GGCGUUAUAUUGUGAUAAGUGAGAACCAAAUAAAGUCUGCUUCUUCGUUUUUCUGUUGGUUUAACGCGACUGAUGUCUACCAGAACAAAGAUUUUCUGAUGAACAAUUCCAUGCUGCUCUCUUCCCAUAUACUGAUAACAACAGAAUUGUACGUUUGAAUAAUAGUCUCAAAUCAGAGGAACUAAUCCAUGCUAACCUCACAAAGGGAUUUUGAAGAUUGUGGGGUGCAUUAAGCUGCAAGUUAUUGAGGAGAAAAACAGAAAUCAGCGAUGCAUUGUAGGAUUGUUGUACUAAAAUGAUGAUGGUGACUGUUUCGAUGCUCCUUAGUGAUGCCAGGCCGUCUGCAUCAAUAGAUAAUUGAUGCAACCGGUGAUACACCAAGAAUCAAGCCAAAUGCAAUUGCACAGGGGUGCAAUUUUUUGUUUGACGCCAUUUAAUUGUUUCCUGAAUUAACCACCUUGGUGUUUGUGUGGGGUAAAUCAAGGCCCUUGUUUUAUGUUAAUAAUUUCGGUAGUAGACUUGGAUUGGCCUGAGCGGCUGAGCAUAUGGUUUGUGGAGCUUUUCAACCAUUCCUAGAAGGUGGGAAAAGCUUACACCACAAUGAUGCUAAUCAUAGGCCAGUGUCAGCACUUUGGGAACAUAUGGGGCAUCAAUUCAGAUGGCAUGAUCAUGUAUAUGAGCUACAGCUUGUCAAGAAACAAGCUGGACAGAAGUUCUGUUUUCUGGUGAUAUUUGUAACCUUUGUCCUCUUAAUCUCUUAUAGUUGAUAUCUUAUGUAUGUAGUUUGUGGUUUGUUAACCUUUGUGAAACUUGUUAGACUUUGUUCCCCUUAUAUUUUUUAAUAAAAGAAACGGGUGGACUCCUUCAAGUC
Chenopodium quinoa (quinoa) is the source of this 871-nucleotide long non-coding RNA. RefSeq lists it as uncharacterized. The transcript is spliced from 3 exons. Lineage: Eukaryota; Viridiplantae; Streptophyta; Magnoliopsida; Caryophyllales; Amaranthaceae. The record is from RefSeq and is a predicted model, not a curated record.